CAAAAGGGUGCUUGCUCUUCAAUAGCACGCAGGCUUAUCGGCCUUGCGGGGUAUGGAAAUCAAGACAUACCCAGCACAUAAUUUUUGAAAUCGCGGGGCAGUUUCCUGCGACAUGCGGAGGCGCCCCC
This is a small nuclear RNA of Coccinella septempunctata (seven-spotted ladybird), 128 nucleotides long. RefSeq annotates it as U11 spliceosomal RNA. The transcript has a single exon. The record is from RefSeq and is a predicted model, not a curated record. Lineage: Eukaryota; Metazoa; Arthropoda; Insecta; Coleoptera; Coccinellidae.